RNAcentral lists this ribosomal RNA (421 nucleotides) under uncultured bacterium. Its description in RNAcentral is "partial 16S ribosomal RNA". It matches the Rfam family "Bacterial small subunit ribosomal RNA", at positions 360 to 773 of the family's 1533-position model. The record is from RNAcentral.
AAUCUUGGACAAUGGGGGCAACCCUGAUCCAGCCAUCCCGCGUGUGCGAUGAAGGCCCUCGGGUUGUACAGCCCUUUUCGCAGGGCAGAAAAGCCCCGGGCUAAUACCCCGCGCCGCAGACGGUACCUCCAGAACAAGCACCGGCUAACUACGUGCCAGCAGCCGCCGUAAUACGUAGGGUGCAAGCGUUAAUCGGAAUUACUGGGCGUAAAGCGUGCGCAGGCGGUUCGGCAAGAAGGAUGUGAAAUCCCGGGGCUUAACCUCGGAACUGCAUUCUUAACUGCCGGGCUAGAGUAUGUCAGAGGGAGGUAGAAUUCCACGUGUAGCAGUGAAAUGCGUAGAGAUGUGGAGGAAUACCGAUGGCGAAGGCAGCCCCCUGGGAUGAUACUGACGCUCAUGCACGAAAGCGUGGGGAGCAAAC